GCCUGGGUGGCUCAGUCGGUUGAGCGUCUGACUUCAGCCCAGGUCAUGAUCUCGCGGUCUGUGGGUUCGAGCCCCGCGUCGGGCU
RNAcentral lists this transfer RNA (85 nucleotides) under Felis catus (domestic cat). It matches the Rfam family "tRNA". Rfam says of the family: Transfer RNA (tRNA) molecules are approximately 80 nucleotides in length. Lineage: Eukaryota; Metazoa; Chordata; Mammalia; Carnivora; Felidae. The record is from Rfam by way of RNAcentral.